This 435-nucleotide ribosomal RNA is filed under the name uncultured bacterium. RNAcentral's name for it is "bacterial SSU rRNA". It matches the Rfam family "Bacterial small subunit ribosomal RNA", at positions 27 to 507 of the family's 1533-position model. The record is from RNAcentral.
GAACGAACGCUGGCGGCAUGCCUAACACAUGCAAGUCGAACGAGACCUUCGGGUCUAGUGGCGCACGGGUGCGUAACACGUGGGAAUUUGCCUCGGGGUAUGGAAUAACUCAGGGAAACUUGAGCUAAUACCAUAUAAUGUCUUCGGACCAAAGAUUUAUCGCCCUGAGAUAAGCCCGCGUAGGAUUAGCUAGUUGGUGAGGUAAAGGCUCACCAAGGCGACGAUCCUUAGCUGGUCUGAGAGGAUGAUCAGCCACACUGGGACUGAGACACGGCCCAGACUCCUACGGGAGGCAGCAGUGGGGGAAUAUUGGACAAUGGGCGAAAGCCUGAUCCAGCAAUGCCGCGUGAGUGAUGAAGGCCUUCGGGUUGUAAAGCUCUUUUACUCGGGACGAUAAUGACGGUACCGAGAGAAUAAGCCCCGGCUAACUCCGUG